RNAcentral lists this ribosomal RNA (478 nucleotides) under uncultured bacterium. RNAcentral describes it as "partial 16S ribosomal RNA". It matches the Rfam family "Bacterial small subunit ribosomal RNA", at positions 28 to 523 of the family's 1533-position model. The record is from RNAcentral.
AACGAACGCUGGCGGCGUGCUUAACACAUGCAAGUCGAACGGUAAGGCCCUUCGGGGUACACGAGUGGCGAACGGGUGAGUAACACGUGGGUGAUCUGCCCUGCACUUCGGGAUAAGCCUGGGAAACUGGGUCUAAUACCGGAUAGGACUCCUGGCUUCAUGGUUGGGGGUGGAAAGCUUUUGCGGUGUGGGAUGGGCCCGCGGCCUAUCAGCUUGUUGGUGGGGUAAUGGCCUACCAAGGCGACGACGGGUAGCCGUCCUGAGAGGGUGACCGGUCACACUGGGACUGAGAUACGGCCCAGACUCCUACGGGAGGCAGCAGUGGGGAAUAUUGCACAAUGGGCGCAAGCCUGAUGCAGCGACGCCGCGUGAGGGAUGACGGCCUUCGGGUUGUAAACCUCUUUCAGCUAUGACGAAGCGCAAGUGACGGUAGUAGCAGAAGAAGGACCGGCCAACUACGUGCCAGCCGCCGCGGUAA